Long non-coding RNA from Manis pentadactyla (Chinese pangolin), 3451 nucleotides. RefSeq lists it as uncharacterized. The transcript has 5 exons. Lineage: Eukaryota; Metazoa; Chordata; Mammalia; Pholidota; Manidae. The record is from RefSeq and is a predicted model, not a curated record.
CCAUUCCUUGGUCCUGGGAUGCAUCUUUUUGGGCUGGGGAGCAGCAGUCAGAAGGAGAAGGAGCAGGGUAAGGGGUCCUCCCCUCACCCUUUUUUCUUGUCAAAUAGCCAGGGGUCAGCCUGGAGAGUGGCCUCCCUUGGUGAGCUUUUCUGCUGCUCCUGGAGCCUCUUGAACUUAUGACAUGGACAGAAGGCCAGCCCUCUAGGCUCCCAGCGGUGGCUGCUGUGGCAGUUGCCUGCCAGCUCCAGCUUGUCUUCAAUCAGUGUCCCCAGGACCCGACCAAAGAAGACAGCUUUGUAUGCCGAUUGUGCUGUCAGCCUUCUUCCCCUCUCCACUAUGAUGGAGCUAUAAAUCCUGUCCCCUGGAUAUGGAGAGGGACCCCCUGAGUCUCAUCUACCCAGGAUUAAUUCAGAAAAGCUACAGUCUGGAGACAUGUCCCGGCUUCCCUGGUGCUGCUGAGCUCCUGCGGUGGAGCUGUGCUCCGUGACCUCAGAGGCAGCCCGCUGGGGACUGUGGCCAGAGGUGGCUGGAGAAAUGACACUCAACGCCUUGUUUUCCUGUCCGGUGUUUCAGAGGUUCCAGGGCCUGUCGGGACAUCGUUUAAUGGCAGCCUCAGGCCCACACCCUCACAGUAAGCCUCUCGGUGCCCGGUUCCAAGCAUGGGCUCUUCUGUGGAGCGAGCUGCAUGCCCUCACCACAGGGCUCCCAAGGGACGAUGGAGUUUGCGGGACAGCGUGCCCUGCCACGGUGUACAGUUGAUGCCAGAGUUCCCCUGUCGUCCAGAACACCAGCCUCCUGAGCAGGGAACCCAGGAGGGAGAGGGAGUGAAAGCUGUUCCGGGUCAGCCCCUGCCUACAGCUCACAGUCCACCUGGGUGAACUCCCCAUGGAGUGGUUAAUAGUGGCAAUCAGAUUCCUGCUGGGGAAGGACUCUGUUCCCUAGGGACACGACUGAGCCUAGUCAAACUGCCUUCCCCUGGAGGGAAGCACCUGGACGCAUCUGCUCCUGUCACCUUGACAGCAGCGGUCACUCAACGCUGCAAGCGCAGCCACUGUCAAAGCAGGGCUCAGAGUGCAGACAACCAGCAGUUGCCUAAUUGGUGGUGCACACUUUACAAGAGUGAGAAACACCCGGCCUGGGGCGAGUGGCACUCUUCCUCACCGCCUGCCGUGGCAGCCCAGCCGGGACCCUGGGCUGGAAGCAGGCUUGCUGUGGAAACAGCAGGCACCCAAGCCGCCAGCAUCCCCUGUUCCUCUUCUAAGACAAAGGGAAAACAUUUCAAAAGCACCUCUGCGUGGCAGAAGAGGAGCCGAUGCUGUUGCUGCACGUGCCAGGUGCUGCCUCUACAGCAGAGCAAACUGAGGCUCCCAGAGGCUCCGUGACCUGCCCGAGGGCUCAUGGGAGCCAGCCCCUGGCACUGAGUCCUGACUCAGCUUGCCGGGGCCCCAGUCCUCGGUCUCUGCCCAGUGAGAGCCUGCAGCUCCUUAACAACCUGUGGGCCGGCUCCUGCUCCCCCACCCCACAGCCCUUGUUUCAGAACUGUUUGGCUUCACUACACACGACUGCUUAUGGAGUCCUGCUUGCCUCCAUGACACGAGCCAAAAACCAAGAGCCUCCAACUCAUACAUGUGUCCCUUCCAGGGCUACUGCCUGCGCCACAUCUUCUUCCCAACAGUCCACUUGGCCACUUCACUCUGGUUUUCAGCAAGAUCCUUUAUUUGUCUCCUGUUUCCCCCACUGCGUCCCAUGAGUACAGGUAGCCAGGUACCUCUACAGGCUGUUGGCUUUGUAAACGUGGAGUGGUCAGUAUGUACAGAAAUCAUGCACCUCAGUGAUUCUUUAACAAGAUACUCAGUGAGUAAAAAGACUUCAGGUGGGUUUGAGAUUUCUACCCUUUCCUGCAUUCUCAUCGCUGAAAAAUACCUGUAUAGAAAUUUUGCUCACAUGUAGACCCGUUUUCCUUCGCAGACUUGCUACUGCCUGCUAGUGCAUCUCACGCUGUGUCUACUCCUGUGGGUGCUUCCUCACAGAGGCUGCUGCCUUCUACUCGGAUACAAACGCUGGACCUGUAUGUGUGACGCGUUGGACAUUCACAACUGCCCCGUGGCUUUAGAAAUCCGACACUGCUCAGGACACAUCUGAGACAAGCAUCUCUAGUAUGGCUGGAGGCUCCUCUCUCACACAUAGGCUAACAGGAGACUGCUUCUAGAAUUAGUGCCUCGAACCAGCCACAUCCCUCACAGGAGACCGGAAAGCCAGCACUGCGCCAGGGGUCCUCUGGGCUGACCGGCCCCAGCGCUGGCACUCACAGACAGCCUCCUGCAACGACACACACAGGACUGGCUCCUCCACCAUCUCCGAGUCCCCCACUUGAGCAUUUAUGUACAAAUAAACACAAAGUCAUAAGCAACAGAACCCCAAAGCAAAAUGGACACUUUGGUCAGAUCUACAAUCCAAGUUUUGGCCAGAGACAGGCUCUCCCAGGAAUCAUCUGGUAAGUGAGGCCCCAUCCCACCACAGCUCCUGUCAGCCAGCCUGGCGGUCUCGACAUUCAUCACUGUGGAUGCAAAAUAGCUCACCGGGGAAUAUUCCAGGCCCAGUUUGGCAGUAGGACUUCUGUAGGCAGUGAGAGCACUGAAAAGACCAGGUAGCAACCUGACGCAGACAACGGGGGUGCCGGGCCUCUGGUCACCGAGCAAAUGAAUGCGUUAUCAGGCAGGAAGGAACUGCAGAAGCAAAUGAUCGGAAGGGAAAAGAAAAAUCUAAGGAAAUACAAGCUGAAAUUUUCCCGUUUACAAUAACCAAAGGGAAGAGGGACCCAAUGUGAUAGAAAAAUCCCGAAUGAGAGCUUUCUGCUGAGGCAGGUCUCUAAGCAUGGAAUCUGGGUCUGGACUGUACCCAUCUUCCCUGGCUGGCCCGCGGCUCCUCUUGCCGACUGCAGCAUGGGAAAAGGUUCUCAUCGUCCUGGAGCAAAGAUGAAAUCCAGGGCCUGCCGUUCAGCUGCUGCCACAUUUGGAUGCCACAAAUCCACCAUGAAAACCACCCGUGGGCCAUCCUCUGCUGAACCUGGGAAGGGGAGCAAGAGAGGACAGGUCUGAACCACCCCAGAGCCAGGACCGCGCAGGGCUGGACGCCACGUGGUUAGCUUCUGUCCCUUGGCACAGAUGGGAAUCAAGAAUGUUAUCAUGAUUUCAUUAAGAUUCUGAGCAGAGUGCGUAAAAGGAACCGGGUGGUGGUGGGGUGGCGUAGCGGUGAAUGAGGAGGGGGCCAAGCCCGGUGGGAUCUGCCCAGUACCCACUUAGGGCAGUGAAGCAGAUUUCAUAUGAUCCUGUGAUGGUGGACACAUGACUUUACAUAUUCGUCAAAAUCAACAGAAUGUACUCCACCAACGUGAACCCUAAUGUAACGUAUGGCCUGUAGUUAAUAAUAACGUGUCAGUAUGGCUCAUCAA